GGUUCCUUGAGUAAGUAUACUAUGUCAUUUACAUUAAAUUUACACGGUUUCAAUGUCUGGUUGUAGUAAGCUUUACUUCUGUGUUUGGCCUUUACUAGGUUCUGUGCCGCCGUUGUCUGAGUGGUGGUGAUCUUUGUAAAGAGCUCAUCGAGAUGCUGUGCAAACGUUCGAGGCGUUUGCCCUUUCGAGAAUUACGAGGGUAUGUUAGCCUUUACACCAAAAAUUAACUCAUGGGGAGUAAAACCUGUGGCCUCGUGUACUGAGAUAUUAUAGGAAAAAAUGCAAAACCUUAUCCAAUCAUCCCAAUCUGUUUUUGUGCAAUAAUGCUUAAGAAAUUUUUCAUGGUUUGGCUGAUGAAAUUUCUUCCUUGGUCAGUAUGAAUAACUCUUGGACAGCCAAAUCUACUGAUGAACUGGUCAACAAGGGUAUAUGCAACAGUUGCUGUGUCUAUACUACGUAAUGUAAUUGCAUCUGAAUAUUUAGUGAGAUUAUCCUGUAGGGUGGGACAGGAUCGAACAAAUUCAAUGAUUUCUUUUGCCAUGCCUGGCCAAUAGAAAUGUUCUUGGAUAAGCUGACGAAAUUUAAAGGAGCCUCGGUAGCCUCCAAUUACCCAUUCAUGAUGUUCUUUAAUGAUUUGGGAGCGUCUCGUUUCGAGCGGAAUUAUAAUCUCUUUUCUGCACACUGUAAUUACAUAUAUUGGAUCAUUAAAAAUCUCCCUAAGCAG
Molecule: long non-coding RNA, 724 nt
Organism: Hylaeus anthracinus
Lineage: Eukaryota; Metazoa; Arthropoda; Insecta; Hymenoptera; Colletidae
Exons: 3
Source: RefSeq, a predicted model, not a curated record